This 408-nucleotide ribosomal RNA is filed under the name Triticum aestivum (bread wheat). Its description in RNAcentral is "partial small subunit ribosomal RNA". Lineage: Eukaryota; Viridiplantae; Streptophyta; Magnoliopsida; Poales; Poaceae. The record is from RNAcentral.
AUGAAUUGCCUUAGCUGGAACUGUCGUGGGCUUGGGAACCCAGUGGCAGUUCGUGAGCUUCGCAGUGUAGUGAAGCAAGAAGGGCCUUGUCUUCUAUUUGUAAUGAAGACAAAGAUUGCAGCUAAUAGAGUGGAAAACCUAAAGAAUCAACUUGGUUUUGUAGGCUGUUUCGCAAUAGACAGUCAUGGUCUAAGUGGAGGUAUUGGUUUGUUUUGGUCAGCCGAAGUGCAGGUUGAACUUCAAAACUAUAGUUCUGGCCAUAUAGAUGUAUUGGUGCAGAAAAGUGAUCACAUCUCUGAAAAAUGGAGACUCACGGGAUUCUAUGGAGCCCCACGAGCAUCAGAUAGACACCAUAGCUGGAGAUUUCUUCAAACCUUAUUUUCCAUCCAACACCCAGCAUGUUAUUGA